RNAcentral lists this ribosomal RNA (600 nucleotides) under uncultured bacterium. Its description in RNAcentral is "bacterial SSU rRNA". The stretch from base 1 to 521 matches the Rfam family "Bacterial small subunit ribosomal RNA", at positions 338 to 873 of the family's 1533-position model. The record is from RNAcentral.
CCUACGGGAGGCAGCAGUGGGGAAUAUUGGGCAAUGGAGGAAACUCUGACCCAGCGACGCCGCGUGCGGGAUGAAGGCCUUCGGGUUGUAAACCGCUUUCAGCAGGGAAGAAGCGAAAGUGACGGUACCUGCAGAAGAAGCACCGGCUAACUAUGUGCCAGCAGCCGCGGUAAUACAUAGGGUGCAAGCGUUGUCCGGAAUUAUUGGGCGUAAAGAGCUCGUAGGUGGUUCGUCACGUCGGAUGUGAAAAUCUGGGGCUUAACCCCAGACCUGCAUUCGAUACGGGCGAGCUUGAGUAUGGUAGGGGAGUCUGGAAUUCCUGGUGUAGCGGUGGAAUGCGCAGAUAUCAGGAGGAACACCAAUGGCGAAGGCAGGACUCUGGGCCAUUACUGACACUGAGGAGCGAAAGCGUGGGGAGCGAACAGGAUUAGAUACCCUGGUAGUCCACGCCGUAAACGGUGGGCACUAGUUGUGGGGACCUUCCACGGUCUCCGCGACGCAGCUACGCAUAAGUGCCCGCCGUCGGGAGGACGAGCGCGAGAUAAACUACAAGAAGUAGACGGCGUGAGACGUGCCGAACGACGACGACGAGGGAGUAGG